RNAcentral lists this unclassified non-coding RNA (562 nucleotides) under Hevea brasiliensis (rubber tree). The record is from RNAcentral. Lineage: Eukaryota; Viridiplantae; Streptophyta; Magnoliopsida; Malpighiales; Euphorbiaceae.
UUUCUAUCUGACAUUUAUUCCCCAGCUGCAGACGAAGUCGGAAAAAUACAUCUAAUUGCAGAUGAAAGGAUAAAUGGAGCAGUAUUUGAUCUUCCGGAGGAAAUAGCAAAAGAGUUGCUGAAUAAGGAACUGCCAGAAGGAAAUACUAUUUUGAAGGUCACGAAGUUACCUCCUCUACAAGACGAUGGCCCACCAAGUGACAACUACGGAAGAUUUUCUGGCAGAGAAAGAAAUAGCCGAAAUAGCUCUAGGGAUCGCAGAGGUUAUAGAACAUCAAGGGGCUGGGGCAGCAGUCGAGACUCUGAUGACGAUGGUGAUUUAUUUGGUAGAAAUCGCAGUUUUAGAACUAACAGCAGCAGGGGUCGGAACUUUAAAAGUUCAGGAGAUGAUUGGCUAAUUGGAGGCAGACGAUCAAGCAGGUCAUCGUCCGUUGAUAGAUUUGGAGGCUCCUGUUUUAAUUGCGGAAGGAUGGGGCACAGAGCAUCAGAAUGCCCUGACAAGUGAUAAGCAAGACGACUAAAUAUACUUGAUCAGCUUAGUUAUUGUAGGUUUUUGGAUUCAG